ACGGGUGAGUAACACGUGGAUAACCUACCCAUAAGACUGGGAUAACUUCGGGAAACCGGAGCUAAUACCGGAUAACAUGUUGAACCGCAUGGUUCAACAGUGAAAGACGGUCUUGCUGUCACUUAUAGAUGGAUCCGCGCCGCAUUAGCUAGUUGGUAAGGUAACGGCUUACCAAGGCAACGAUGCGUAGCCGACCUGAGAGGGUGAUCGGCCACACUGGAACUGAGACACGGUCCAGACUCUUACGGGAGGCAGCAGUAGGGAAUCUUCCGCAAUGGGCGAAAGCCUGACGGAGCAACGCCGCGUGAGUGAUGAAGGUCUUCGGAUCGUAAAACUCUGUUAUUAGGGAAGAACAAAUGUGUAAGUAACUAUGCACGUCUUGACGGUACCUAAUCAGAAAGCCUCGGCUAACUACGUGCCAGCAGCCGCGGUAAUACGUAGGUGGCAAGCGUUAUCCGGAAUUAUUGGGCGUAAAGCGCGCGUAGGCGGUUUUUUAAGUCUGAUGUGAAAGCCCACGGCUCAACCGUGGAGGGUCAUUGGAAACUGGAAAACUUGAGUGCAGAAGAGGAAAGUGGAAUU
RNAcentral lists this ribosomal RNA (579 nucleotides) under uncultured bacterium. RNAcentral describes it as "bacterial SSU rRNA". It matches the Rfam family "Bacterial small subunit ribosomal RNA", at positions 102 to 668 of the family's 1533-position model. The record is from RNAcentral.